GCGGGAGACGGCCCAGACGGGUGUUGGGUUGGGCCGACGACGGAGGGGGUUCAAAUCCCCUUUCCCGCUCCA
Molecule: transfer RNA, 72 nt
Filed under: Nitrospira sp. SB0662_bin_26
Lineage: Bacteria; Pseudomonadati; Nitrospirota; Nitrospiria; Nitrospirales; Nitrospiraceae
Description: tRNA-OTHER
Source: RNAcentral